Molecule: small RNA, 72 nt
Filed under: Methanobacterium sp. A39
Lineage: Archaea; Methanobacteriati; Methanobacteriota; Methanobacteria; Methanobacteriales; Methanobacteriaceae
Description: DUF3800-X RNA
Rfam family: DUF3800-X RNA
Source: Rfam by way of RNAcentral
AGGUGAGUAAGUCCUUCUGAAAGGAUGAUGCCCGCGGACGCGGGGUGGGAUCGAGUAAGAAUGGUUUCACCU